GCCCACGUUGCAGAAUCAUGAGCAAAUAUGUUGUGGAUUGGCUGUAACUCUGCUCUGGGAUCCAGGCUGAAGGAGCAGGCUCUAUCUGGAACAUUACUAGUCUCCAGGCAGAAGAAAAAGAGACAAUGGAAUGGAUGAUUGAAUGGAUGAAUGAACUCCACAGGAAGAUGAGGAAAGCCUUUAUGGAUGGAGUGAGCUUGCAGCAGAGUCUCAAAGGGGGGCCUGGCCACCAGAGUCCCAAGCUACCAAGAUGUCAAGUAAAGAAGAACUGAAAGCCAACUGCUGGAUGCAGCAGUGAGUGGGGGUCACAGUGGCCUUUGCCAGAACUGUUCCAGUGGAGGAGUAGAGGAAGAGAGAAAACCACAGGAGCAGGCAUCGCAAGCUCAUGCUCCACCCACACGUCCCCUUUCUCCUUUAGUCCUGUGACCCAUGUGCUUGCUCUCUUUCUCUCUCAAAGGAGAUCCAAAUUUAAAAAUAUGGAGCCAAGGGAAUCAGUUCCUUUGCGAACACACUGAACGUUAGUUUUCUUCUUCUCUUUUGCAAAAACUUCUUAUUUCACAAAAUACUCAAACAAAUAGACAAAGUACAGUGAAGUCCAGGUAGAUAUCAUCCACCUUCAGCAAUGAUCAAUCCAUGGCCAAUCUUUCAUCUCAACACUCGUAUCCUCAUUCUUGUGGAGCAAAUGCCAGACAUUCUUUCAUCCAUCAGUAUGUCAAUAUGUAUCUCUGAAAUAGAAGGACUUUUUAUAAAACAUAAUCAUAAUAUAAUUAAUAUUCAUUCCCCAAUUGUUUUGUUAUUGUCUUUUACAGUUUAAUUUUUGUUUUGUUUUGUUUCGUUUCUUUUUGAGACAGGAUCUUGCUCUGUUACCCAGGCUGGAGUGCAGUGGUGCGAUCAUGACCCAUUGCAGCCUCUACCUCCUGGGCUCAGGUGAUCUUCCCACCUCAGCCUCCCAAGUAGCUGGGACUACAGGUGCAUGCCACCAUGUCCAGCUACUUUUUUGUAUUUUUGUAGAGAUGAGGUCUCACCAUGUUGCCCAGGCCAGUCUCAAACUCCUGGGCUCAAGUGAUCCACUUGCCCCAGCCUUCCAAAGUGCUAGGAUUACAGGCAUGAUCCAUAAUACCCAGCUACGGUUUGUUUUCAUUUGGAUGCUAAUAAGACCCAUACAUUCCAUUUGGUUGAUCUAUCUCUUCAAUUUCUUUUAAAUUUAUAAUUUUAUAAGGUCCCCUUCCACAUUUUUCUUUGUGGAAGAGGAGAAAAGACCCUUGUUCUCUGGAUCACUCUGUGGUUAAGGGGGUAGGUCCUCAAAUCAGAUGCCCUGGUUCUAUUUUGCUUUCUUGUUUUUUAGUACUUUUUGUUUGUUACCUACACACAGAAAAGUACAUGAAUCAUAAGUGAGCAGCUUGAUGAAUUUUCAUAAGUGAACACACCUGUGUAACCACCACCCAGCUCAGGAACAGGGCAUCACUGGCACCCAAGAACCCCCUCUCAGGCCCUUUCCCAGUCUCUACCACCUCACAAAGGUCAGGUGACUUUUUCACACCACAGCCAUGUGUUACCU
RNAcentral lists this long non-coding RNA (1558 nucleotides) under Homo sapiens (human). RNAcentral's name for it is "coronary artery disease region linked MFGE8 regulatory lncRNA (CARMAL)". Lineage: Eukaryota; Metazoa; Chordata; Mammalia; Primates; Hominidae. The record is from RNAcentral.